CUCAACAUCUUAUGCUUCCAGAGAAAAUACCACAUCUGCCCGAAGAACAGAUAAGGCAAAUGAAAAUGAUACAUUGAAGCAUGUGGAGACAAGCACAACAAGCACGUGUCGAUUCAUCCGCUACUUCUUCAAAAUCACAAGUAUCUCAUCUCAUCAGGGUUGCAAUCACUCUGGGUUUGAUGGACUUGUUUUGACCCUCAAAUUCUUGGGUCGACUCGCUAGGCAUUAUGAGCUGCACAUGCCGAUUCACCACCCUUGCAUCAAAUCCUUAAAGAUCAAGUCACCAACUGGAAGAAGAGCCCAUCAAUCUUGAAGAUCAUACCGUUGACCAAACUACUCAGGUGUAAAUUAGAAAGAUUGAACAAACAACAAGUCGUCACCUUCACCUCAUGCCUGCUUGCCAUGUGUUCGAGUCAACCUUCAAGAAUCAAGCCUCAACGGCCCUUGAAGAAGCUUCCAGCCAAAUUUAAGAUCAAGCCUCGACGACCCUUGAAGAAAUCACAAGUACGAUUUAAGAUCAAGUGUCCAUCACCCUUGAAUCAAAUCCAACUCCACAUAAAAAAAAGUAAGUUCAAACAAUCAGAGGAAGCCAGAAAGUCCUCCAACCCCGUUCAAGAAUAAGCUAUGAAAAGUCAACAAUUGGAGGAAACCAAAAAAUCCUCCAACCCAGUUCAAGAAUAAGCCUGUGGAAAGUCAACAAUUGGAGGAAUCUAGAAAAUCCUCCAACCCAGUUCAAGAUCAAAGCUGUGGAAAGUCAACAAGCGCAACAAAAUACGUGCCAAUUCAUCCACUACCAAAGCCAAAGAUCAUCUACCACAUGAAGCUCUUUGUGGUCCAAUUUCAACCUUCAAGAUCA
RNAcentral lists this long non-coding RNA (856 nucleotides) under Malus domestica (apple). RNAcentral describes it as "long non-coding RNA (MDOM_LNC002660)". Lineage: Eukaryota; Viridiplantae; Streptophyta; Magnoliopsida; Rosales; Rosaceae. The record is from RNAcentral.